GAAAUGCGAUAAGUAGUGUGAAUUGCAGAAUUUAGCGAAUCAUCGAAUCUUUGAACGCACAUUGCGCCCCUUGGUAUUCCAUGGGGCAUGCCUGUUCGAGCGUCAUUUCAACCCUCAAGCACUGCUUGGUGUUGGGCGUUUGUCCCGCCUACGCGCGUGGACUCGCCUCAAAGUCAUUGGCAGCUGUUCCCCUUGGGCUCGUAAGCGCAGCACAGUCGGCGCCCGGAGCUCUGGUGGGAUGGCGUCCAGCAAGCUAUAUUUUCAGGCUUGACCUCGGAUCAGGUAGGGAUACCCGCUGAACUUAAGC
RNAcentral lists this unclassified non-coding RNA (307 nucleotides) under plant metagenome. RNAcentral describes it as "partial contains 5.8S ribosomal RNA, internal transcribed spacer 2, and large subunit ribosomal RNA". The stretch from base 1 to 105 matches the Rfam family "5.8S ribosomal RNA", at positions 50 to 154 of the family's 154-position model. The record is from RNAcentral.